UACGUAGGGUGCAAGCGUUGUCCGGAAUUAUUGGGCGUAAAGAGCUCGUAGGCGGUUCGUCGCGUCGGCUGUGAAAACCCGGAGCUCAACUCCGGGCCUGCAGUCGAUACGGGCGGACUUGAGUGUUGCAGGGGAGACUGGAAUUCCUGGUGUAGCGGUGAAAUGCGCAGAUAUCAGGAGGAACACCAGUGGCGAAGGCGGCAUCCUGGCCCUGUCCUGACGCUCAGGGGCGAAAGCGUGGGGAGCAAACCGG
RNAcentral lists this ribosomal RNA (253 nucleotides) under uncultured bacterium. Its description in RNAcentral is "partial 16S ribosomal RNA". It matches the Rfam family "Bacterial small subunit ribosomal RNA", at positions 524 to 776 of the family's 1533-position model. The record is from RNAcentral.